Molecule: small nuclear RNA, 21 nt
Filed under: Arabidopsis thaliana (thale cress)
Lineage: Eukaryota; Viridiplantae; Streptophyta; Magnoliopsida; Brassicales; Brassicaceae
Description: snRNA_16743
Source: RNAcentral
GAAAAUUGUCGAAAUAUUUGG